Molecule: ribosomal RNA, 368 nt
Filed under: uncultured organism
Description: bacterial SSU rRNA
Rfam family: Bacterial small subunit ribosomal RNA
Source: RNAcentral
CGAAGGUGGCAAGCGUUGUUCGGAUUUACUGGGCGUACAGGGAGCGUAGGCGGUUGGAUAAGCCCUCCGUGAAAUCUCCAGGCUUAACCUGGAAAGUGCAGAGGGGACUGUUCAGCUAGAGGAUGGGAGAGGAGCGCGGAAUUCCCGGUGUAGCGGUGAAAUGCGUAGAGAUCGGGAGGAAGGCCGGUGGCGAAGGCGGCGCUCUAGAACAUUUCUGACGCUGAGGCUCGAAAGCGUGGGGAGCAAACAGGAUUAGAUACCCUGGUAGUCCACGCCUUAAACGAUGGAUACUAAGUGUCGGCGGGUUACCGCCGGUGCCGCAGCUAACGCAGUAAGUAUCCCGCCUGGGAAGUACGGCCGCAAGGUUG